AAGUCGAGCGGACCGACGGGAGCUUGCUCCCUUAGGUCAGCGGCGGACGGGUGAGUAACACGUGGGUAACCUGCCUGUAAGACUGGGAUAACUCCGGGAAACCGGGGCUAAUACCGGAUGCUUGAUUGAACCGCAUGGUUCAAUCAUAAAAGGUGGCUUUUAGCUACCACUUGCAGAUGGACCCGCGGCGCAUUAGCUAGUUGGUGAGGUAACGGCUCACCAAGGCGACGAUGCGUAGCCGACCUGAGAGGGUGAUCGGCCACACUGGGACUGAGACACGGCCCAGACUCCUACGGGAGGCAGCAGUAGGGAAUCUUCCGCAAUGGACGAAAGUCUGACGGAGCAACGCCGCGUGAGUGAUGAAGGUUUUCGGAUCGUAAAACUCUGUUGUUAGGGAAGAACAAGUACCGUUCGAAUAGGGCGGCACCUUGACGGUACCUAACCAGAAAGCCACGGCUAACUACGUGCCAGCAGCCGCGGUAAUACGUAGGUGGCAAGCGUUGUCCGGAAUUAUUGGGCGUAAAGCGCGCGCAGGCGGUUUCUUAAGUCUGAUGUGAAAGCCCCCGGCUCAACCGGGGAGGGUCAUUGGAAACUGGGGAACUUGAGUGCAGAAGAGGAGAGUGGAAUUCCACGUGUAGCGGUGAAAUGCGUAGAGAUGUGGAGGAACACCAGUGGCGAAGGCGACUCUCUGGUCUGUAACUGACGCUGAGGCGCGAAAGCGUGGGGAGCGAACAGGAUUAGAUACCCUGGUAGUCCACGC
RNAcentral lists this ribosomal RNA (760 nucleotides) under Bacillus cereus. RNAcentral describes it as "bacterial SSU rRNA". It matches the Rfam family "Bacterial small subunit ribosomal RNA", at positions 59 to 800 of the family's 1533-position model. The record is from RNAcentral. Lineage: Bacteria; Bacillati; Bacillota; Bacilli; Caryophanales; Bacillaceae.